This 490-nucleotide ribosomal RNA is filed under the name uncultured bacterium. RNAcentral's name for it is "bacterial SSU rRNA". It matches the Rfam family "Bacterial small subunit ribosomal RNA", at positions 97 to 610 of the family's 1533-position model. The record is from RNAcentral.
GGCAAACGGGUGCGUAACACGUGGGUGACCUACCUCGAAGUGGGGAAUAACGGUCCGAAAGGAUCGCUAAUACCGCAUGUUCUCGAUGAUUCAUUUUGUCGAGUAAAACCGUAAGGUGCUUUGAGAGGGGCCCGCGUCCCAUCAGGUAGUUGGUGAGGUAAUGGCCCACCAAGCCAAUGACGGGUAGCUGGUCUGAGAGGACGACCAGCCACAAUGGAACUGAGAUACGGUCCAUCUACGGGAGGCAGCAGUGAGGAAUAUUGCACAAUGGACGAAAGUCUGAUGCAGCGACGCCGCGUGGGUGAUGAAGGCCCUCGGGUCGUAAAACCCUUUUGGCAGGGACGAGUGAGGACGGUACCUGCAGAAUAAGUCUCGGCUAACUACGUGCCAGCAGCCGCGGUAAAACGUAGGAGGCGAGCGUUAUCCGGAUUUACUGGGCGUAAAGCGCGCGUAGGCGGUCGGGUAAGUCAGAUGUUAAAGCCCCUGGCUC